GAGAGGACCGGGAUGGACGGACCGCUGGUGUAUCUGUUGGGUACCAGACCCAUGGCAGAGUAGCCAAGUCCGGAAGGGAUAAACGCUGAAGGCAUCUAAGCGUGAAGCCCCCCUCAAGAUGAGAUAUCCCAAUCAGUAAGACCCCUUAGAGAGUAUGAGGUAGAUAGGCAUGAGGUGGAAGUGCAGUAAUGCAUGGAGCUGACAUGUACUAAUCGGUCGAGGGCUUAACCUG
Molecule: ribosomal RNA, 232 nt
Filed under: Candidatus Eisenbergiella merdigallinarum
Lineage: Bacteria; Bacillati; Bacillota; Clostridia; Lachnospirales; Lachnospiraceae
Description: partial 23S ribosomal RNA
Rfam family: Bacterial large subunit ribosomal RNA
Source: RNAcentral